GGAGAGAUGUCCGAGUGGCUGAAGGAGCGCGACUGGAAAUCGCGUGUACGCCCUCAAAGGUGUGCCGGGGGUUCGAAUCCCCCUCUCUCCGCCA
RNAcentral lists this transfer RNA (94 nucleotides) under Syntrophobacterales bacterium CG_4_8_14_3_um_filter_49_14. RNAcentral's name for it is "tRNA-Ser". It matches the Rfam family "tRNA". Rfam says of the family: Transfer RNA (tRNA) molecules are approximately 80 nucleotides in length. The record is from RNAcentral. RNAcentral also lists the same sequence under 2 other names. Lineage: Bacteria; Pseudomonadati; Thermodesulfobacteriota; Syntrophobacteria; Syntrophobacterales.